UGUUAAAAAAUUCAUCUAUUUUUGCUAUUCAAAACUGAUGUACUUGAUGGAAUAACCUGACAGUUACAUGUAACAUGCCACGUACACCUCUUGUUAGCAUUAAGGGGCUAAUUUUUUAACAAAAAAAUGGAUGAUAUUUUUAACA
This 145-nucleotide microRNA precursor is filed under the name Gossypium hirsutum (cotton). RNAcentral's name for it is "MIR7502 microRNA precursor family". It matches the Rfam family "MIR7502 microRNA precursor family". The record is from Rfam by way of RNAcentral. Lineage: Eukaryota; Viridiplantae; Streptophyta; Magnoliopsida; Malvales; Malvaceae.